This 492-nucleotide ribosomal RNA is filed under the name uncultured bacterium. Its description in RNAcentral is "partial 16S ribosomal RNA". It matches the Rfam family "Bacterial small subunit ribosomal RNA", at positions 29 to 507 of the family's 1533-position model. The record is from RNAcentral.
AGUGAACGCUGGCGGUAGGCCUAACACAUGCAAGUCGAACGGAAGAACAGUAAGAGCUUGCGCUUACGGGUGGCGAGUGGCGGACGGGUGAGGGGUACAUCGGAAUCUACUUUUUCGUGGGGGAUAACGUAGGGGAACUUACGCUAAUACCGCAUACGGACUACGGGUGAAAGCAGGGGAUCUUCGGACAUUGCGCGAUCGAAUGAGCCGAUGUCGGAUUAGCUAGUUGGCGGGGUAAAGGCCCACCAAGGCGACGAUCCGUAGCUGGUCUGAGAGGAUGAUCAGCCACACUGGAACUGAGACACGGUCCAGACUCCUACGGGAGGCAGCAGUGGGGAAUAUUGGACAAUGGGCGCAAGCCUGAUCCAGUCAUACCGCGUGUGUGAAGAAGGCCUUCGGGUUGUAAAGCCCUUUUGUUUGGAAAGAAAAGCAGCAGGUUAAUACCCCGCUGUUCUGACGGUACCAAAAGAAUAAGCACCGGCUAACUUCGUG